Molecule: long non-coding RNA, 1146 nt
Organism: Lutzomyia longipalpis
Lineage: Eukaryota; Metazoa; Arthropoda; Insecta; Diptera; Psychodidae
Exons: 2
Source: RefSeq, a predicted model, not a curated record
GAAAAGUUUAAGAAAAUUAGGGGUGUUUCAUUAAUUGAUCUACACACUGUUGAUCGACUUCCUUUGCGAUCUUCCACGAAAUGGAAGUCUUUUUUUCUGGAUGGGAGAGGGCAGUCGGCAGAGGAAGCAAGAGGUAAUCGUGCUGUGCAGGAAUGAGACACCAUGAUCGCAAGGCGAAAAAAGACGAGAAAAAAUUUCGUGGACUUUUCGUAUAAACAGAAAACUAUAUAGCUUUGGAGUUCACGUAUGAAUUUUUUUUGUACUGCCGAUCUUCUUUUUUCUCUCUUUUCUUUUUCUCAAAUUCCUCACUCGAAAAUGUUCCCAGGCAUUCCAAUGCGAUAGUGUAUUUCAUUCUGAAAGUUCCGAGUGACUCUCGAUGGAGCUUCUAUACCACGGAGUCCACAUGUAUUGUGCGCUUUUCUCCUUUACCUCCACCUGUAUUUGAGUGAUCAUGGAGCAAAAACGUUCUCGCGAUCGUGGAGGCAAAGAGAGGAAGACAUAGGCCAGAGAAAGAAGGAAUUUUUGCCAAAAUACAAAAGAAAAAGAAAAAAAAGGGGAUUCGUUGAUGCUAGUGUGUGCGUGGUGAGCAGUUGAAGAUUUAUAAAGAAAAAGAAUAAGAAGAAAAAGAUUAAAAAAAAAGCUCUGAAAAAUCAGGCGCAACAGUGAUUAAUUGCAAAAGUGAGAGAUAAUUAAAUUCUCACUUGUGAGACGAGGAGGCAAGAAAAGAUUGGUUACGAAUGGAAAUUUGAAGAGAAAUGGUGAAAAAAAAAACGAGCCAACGUGAAAUAUUUCAAUGUUCCAAUAUUGCUGCAUUCCAGUCUCUCGAUUGCUCCUCUCUAUUCUCUUUGGAGUGGCAUCGACCUCUUUCUUCGAUGUUCUUGCCCUUUUUUCUCCUCUUUCUCUCCUCACAAUUUCUUCAAAUCAUUUUCAAUCACCUUCAUGAAUAAAUUCAAUGAAUUUCAUAGAUAUUGACUCUCAAUGGCGCUUUUUUUCACCACAUCUCAUCAACGAUCGGUCGCGUGGUAUUUUCUUCAUUAGCUGAUGAGACCAAAUGAGGAAGGAAGUUGAUAAUUGAGAUGCAAAGAGUGGUGUUGAGAAAAAAGAAAAUCACCAUUCCUGUUAUUAUUUUAAUUUGUCCAACAAAAA